Molecule: ribosomal RNA, 449 nt
Filed under: uncultured bacterium
Lineage: Bacteria
Description: bacterial SSU rRNA
Rfam family: Bacterial small subunit ribosomal RNA
Source: RNAcentral
CGAACGGAGUUUUAACGGAAGUUUCGGAUGGAAGUUAGAACUUAGUGGCGGACGGGUGAGUAACGCGUGGGUAACCUGCCUCAUACAGGGGGAUAACAGUUAGAAAUGACUGCUAACACCGCAUAAUAUAGCGAAACCGCAUGAUUUUGCUAUCAAAUAUUUAUAGGUAUGAGAUGGGCCCGCGUCUGAUUAGCUAGUUGGUGGGGUAAAGCCUACCAAGGCGACGAUCAGUAGCCGGCUUGAGAGAGUGACCGGCCACAUUGGGACUGAGACACGGCCCAAACUCCUACGGGAGGCAGCAGUGGGGAAUAUUGGACAAUGGGGGAAACCCUGAUCCAGCGACGCCCGCGUGAGUGAAGAAGUAUUUCGGUAUGUAAAGCUCUAUCAGCAGGGAAGAUAAUGACAGUACCUGACUAAGAAGCCCCGGCUAACUACGUGCCAGCAGCAGC